UUUCACAUUUAUGUCAUCUAUGUUGUAAAAAUGACGCUUGUCGCCAUUUUAUAACCCAUCUAUUUCAUGUUUUAUUUACAUUUUGGUGUGUGUUUUUAGGUGUGUCUACUAACCCCUUCCUUAAUUAAUAUUGUAAUUAAUUUGGUUGUCCGUUUGUGCAGAUUGUCCAAUAAAUGAGAGAGAAUAAAGUUCAGUUUGAUCAUACUAAAACAACCAGUGACUACAUGUGUGUGGUCUUUUGCGAACUAUAUUCUUGAUUUGCUGUUUUCGUCUUCACCUUACAACAUUAUGCAGUUCAUUUUCAAGUGGCGAGUGAUAGCAGCUUGAGAUUUAUUUGAAUUCCACUGAAACAAAUUUUCUACAGUGGUAUUUCUCCUGGAUUUAGUUUGCUUUCACACCUGCAAACUUGGAAACGUUACAGUCUACAGUUAAUUAAGGUCGACAGUGGAGAAGACAAAGAAGACCCCAUGUCUCUAUCUUGCAAGUCGUUUUUUAUUAGAAUGCAUUUUUUAUUGUGUAGUUCAUUUUAUUUAAAUUAAUUUUUAUUUUGCAUGCUUAUUUUUGUUCAUUUUGUUUGAAGUAAUUAUUGAUUUUAGAUGUUUUUAUUUUUUUUUUUGUAUGUAGUAAUAGUAGUACUAACUUGUUUAGUAGUAGUUGUAGCAUAGUCCAACAUGUCUCUUGCUUACAUCUCUUCUCUUAGCUUACUGCUUA
This is a long non-coding RNA of Agrilus planipennis (emerald ash borer), 711 nucleotides long. RefSeq lists it as uncharacterized. NCBI's taxonomy places the organism in Eukaryota, Metazoa, Arthropoda, Insecta, Coleoptera, Buprestidae. The transcript is spliced from 2 exons. The record is from RefSeq and is a predicted model, not a curated record.